GAUGAACGCUGGCGGCGUGCCUAAUACAUGCAAGUCGAGCGAACAGACGAUGAGCUUGCUCCUCUGACGUUAGCGGCGGACGGGUGAGUAACACGUGGAUAACCUACCUAUAAGACUGGGAUAACUUCGGGAAACCGGAGCUAAUACCAGAUAAUAUAUUGAACCGCAUGGUUCAAUAGUGAAAGACGGUGUUGCUGGCUCUUAUAGAUGGAUCCGCGCCGCAUUAGCUAGUUGGUAAGGUAACGGCUUACCAAGGCAACGAUGCGUAGCCGACCUGAGAGGGUGAUCGGCCACACUGGAACUGAGCCACGGACCAGACUCCUACGGGAGGCAGCAGUAGGGAAUCUUCCGCAAUGGGGGAAAGCCUGACGGAGCAACGCCGCGUGAGUGAUGAAGGUCUUCGGAUCGUAAAACUCUGUUAUUAGGGAAGAACAACUGUGUAAGUAACUAUGCACGUCUUGACGGUACCUAGUCAGAAAGCCACGGCUAACUACGUG
This 497-nucleotide ribosomal RNA is filed under the name uncultured bacterium. RNAcentral's name for it is "partial 16S ribosomal RNA". It matches the Rfam family "Bacterial small subunit ribosomal RNA", at positions 28 to 507 of the family's 1533-position model. The record is from RNAcentral.